GCAUACAAAACAGAUGCUGAGGUGAGCAUAGAUUCCAGAGGAUGAAUGCCAGCCUGCUAUGCUAUAGGACAGAGGGGUGGUCUGUGAAACACUGGCCAUUCCGUGAAAGGCCAGCUUGCUUUCACAUCACAGGGCAGGCGGCGGCACAACAGAGGCUCACACUUGUCGCCUCCAGCCCUUGGAAGCUUCCUGUGGGGCAUGGGGCCAAGGGCUGGCAACAGAGCAUCCUGGGGUUUUGUUACAAGGCUAGGCUUUAAAAUACCUUUAAAAGUUUCAUGUCAUUUCCUCCCAUCUCGUGUCGAGGACUGCCGUGUUUCGGAAAAGGCGUGUUUCUGAGAGACAGAGCUCCAUCUAGUUGUGGGUGAGUGCCUGGCUCAGGAGCUGCCCCGUGGAACAAGCCCUGUCCCCAAGCUGCCCACCUGUGGCUGUGACUCCUUUUCUGAGGCUCCUGACUCCAUUCUUGCAGAUUCUGAUGGAUCAGGAACUUUUAAAUUCUACACAGAGAUGUUUAAAAAAAUGUGUAGUGAUUUAAGUCAUUUCCCAUCUGGUGCUUCUGAAUUUUUGCCUUCAGAGGAGAGAAGUGGUGGGCCCAGCCAUGCCUGCUCCUUUGUGUUGUCUUUCUGGUGAGGGAAACCCUGCGUGAGAGUCAGCACCUGUUUCUUCAGAGCUGCUGUCAAAAUAAUCACUGCUCCCCCCACGGCAGCCACAUGUGCAGCGCAGGGGCCCAGCAACCAUUGCAUGGGAGUGUCUGGCUCUGCCAGUGUACAGCGUACCUCUGGGUAGUCUGUGCUGCUGUGACAGAAACCAGGCCCUCGGGACGCCCUGUGACACGGGUGCUUCCCUGAGGCAGCAGCAGUGUGCAGCUCAGGGGUCCUCCGAGGUUGGCAGUGCCCAUGGGUGGCACAGGGGCCUUCUUGUGGGCAGCACUUGGUCUCAUGUUUACAGCUUGGAGGGAUUCACAUAGUUACUUCCUGAAAUUUCUGGAAUUAAAAAAAGAUUUCUAUUUGGUCAGAAAGCUGCUAGGAAUAUCAUGUAAUUAGAAAUUCAGUAUUUAUAGAUGUAGAUAUAUUAAACACUGCUAAGGAGAUAUGGUUACAAUCUGUAACAGGUUUUGCACUAUCAUAACGUUAUGGAAUUUUCCUGGAGGAUGUCAUUAGCUUCUGUUGGCACUUACUUGUGAGCUGUGUGUACACUGUGUUCAGGUUUCUGAAUCCUGUAGAGCACUCAUGUCUCUGACAGCGUCUUGCCAGGGCCGCCAGCUGUAUAUGCAGUGGGGCCGGCUGUCUUAGGGCUGACACAUAGACGUGUAUUGUUUACAAUGAGUUCCCCAACGUUGUGGGGAAGAACUUAAGUGGUUUUAAAGUGUUUUAUAAUGGUGAGGAAAUGAGGGUCGGGGCACGUGGUCCCUGAGGGAGGGUCUUCAGGGCAAGACCUAUGGCCCUGGGCAGGGACCGGUCUCCCCAGGGGUGGUGCCUUCCCAAGGGGAUGGUCAGUGCUCCUGCGACUGCCAGGCCAGCCCUUCUGCAGACUUCGUGGUGGGGGGCAGUUCCCUGGGACAGGAAGCUCCUCAGCCCCUUCCCUCCAGGGCAGGAACUGAGCCAGAAUGGGCGGGGCCGGCCUAGCUUCCAGGAAUGUUUUCUCUAUUAAAUGUACCUCUGUCUUUAAGCUGUGUCUCAUUUUCUCAUUGCUCGCAUGUCUUGCCUAGAAAAGCAUUUGGAAUUGCUUAUGUUCAGUUACAGAAAUAAAAUAUUUCCUGUUGUAAAAUCCCUGCA
Cebus imitator (Panamanian white-faced capuchin) is the source of this 1772-nucleotide long non-coding RNA. RefSeq lists it as uncharacterized. The transcript has 2 exons. The record is from RefSeq and is a predicted model, not a curated record. NCBI's taxonomy places the organism in Eukaryota, Metazoa, Chordata, Mammalia, Primates, Cebidae.